Molecule: ribosomal RNA, 810 nt
Filed under: uncultured Bacillota bacterium
Lineage: Bacteria; Bacillati; Bacillota
Description: bacterial SSU rRNA
Rfam family: Bacterial small subunit ribosomal RNA
Source: RNAcentral
AGGAGAGUUUGAUCCUGGCUCAGGAUGAACGCUGGCGGCGUGCCUAACACAUGCAAGUCGAACGAAGCGUCCCGCCCGAAGAGAAGGAGUGCUUGCACAAUUUUAAUUCAAUUGGGAUGACUUAGUGGCGGACGGGUGAGUAACGCGUGGGUAACCUGCCUUAUACAGGGGGAUAACAGUUAGAAAUGACUGCUAAUACCGCAUAAGCGCACAGAAUCGCAUGAUACAGUGUGAAAAGCCGAGACGGUAUAAGAUGGACCCGCGUCUGAUUAGCCAGUUGGCAGGGUAACGGCCUACCAAAGCGACGAUCAGUAGCCGGCCUGAGAGGGUGAACGGCCACAUUGGGACUGAGACACGGCCCAAACUCCUACGGGAGGCAGCAGUGGGGGAUAUUGCACAAUGGGGGAAACCCUGAUGCAGCGACGCCGCGUGAGCGAAGAAGUAUUUCGGUAUGUAAAGCUCUAUCAGCAGGGAAGAAAAUGACGGUACCUGACUAAGAAGCUCCGGCUAAAUACGUGCCAGCAGCCGCGGUAAUACGUAUGGAGCAAGCGUUAUCCGGAUUUACUGGGUGUAAAGGGAGCGUAGACGGUUUGCCAAGUCUGAUGUGAAAGGUGAGGGCUCAACCCUUAAACUGCAUUGGAAACUGGUAGACUAGAGUGUCGGAGAGGUAAGUGGAAUUCCUAGUGUAGCGGUGAAAUGCGUAGAUAUUAGGAGGAACACCAGCGGCGAAGGCGGCUUACUGGACGAUAACUGACGUUGAGGCUCGAAAGCGUGGGGAGCAAACAGGAUUAGAUACCCUGGUAGUCCCCU